RNAcentral lists this transfer RNA (75 nucleotides) under Schistocerca americana (American grasshopper). RNAcentral's name for it is "tRNA-Leu". It matches the Rfam family "tRNA". From Rfam's summary of the family: Transfer RNA (tRNA) molecules are approximately 80 nucleotides in length. Their secondary structure includes four short double-helical elements and three loops (D, anti-codon, and T loops). Lineage: Eukaryota; Metazoa; Arthropoda; Insecta; Orthoptera; Acrididae. RNAcentral also lists the same sequence under 4 other names. The record is from RNAcentral.
UGCUUGGGUAGCUCAGUUGGUAGAGCACUUGCCCGCAAAAGGCAAAGGUCCCGAGUUCGAGUCUCGGCCCGGCAC